UACGUAGGGUGCGAGCGUUAAUCGGAAUUACUGGGCGUAAAGGGAGCGUAGGCGGAUAGUUAAGUCAGAGGUGAAAGCCCAGGGCUCAACCUUGGAGUUGCCUUUGAUACUGGCUAUCUUGAGUAUGGGAGAGGUUAGCGGAACUCCGAGUGUAGAGGUGAAAUUCGUAGAUAUUCGGAAGAACACCAGUGGCGAAGGCGGCUAACUGGCCCAUUACUGACGCUGAGGCUCGAAAGCGUGGGGAGCAAACAGG
This 253-nucleotide ribosomal RNA is filed under the name uncultured bacterium. RNAcentral's name for it is "partial 16S ribosomal RNA". It matches the Rfam family "Bacterial small subunit ribosomal RNA", at positions 524 to 776 of the family's 1533-position model. The record is from RNAcentral.